Non-coding RNA from Phascolarctos cinereus (koala), 520 nucleotides. Lineage: Eukaryota; Metazoa; Chordata; Mammalia; Diprotodontia; Phascolarctidae. The record is from RefSeq and is a predicted model, not a curated record.
ACAGUGUGUACCCUCCUUUUGUAGACCAAGCCACCCUAGGAGAACAAGUGAAACGAGUCAAAGAAAUUGAAGCGAUUGAAAGUGACUGCUUUGUUCAGCAGACAUUCAGAUCAAGUAAAGAAGUGAGAAAGCCCACUGACCCUGGCGAAGGAAAGCAGGAGCCCACGACGUCAGGAGCGGUGACUGCAGAGCCCCGCCACGCUGAAAGGAAGGAGACCCCGGCAGCAUUCCUACCACCAUCAAGUACCAAGACGCCGAUUCUCUAGCGCAUCCUAACCUAUUUAUUGAGAAGGCUGAAGCAGAGGAGAAGUGGUUCAAGAGAUUAAUUGCUCUCCGGCAAGAACGCCUGAUGGGCAGUCCUGUCGCCUGACUAACUCGGGAUUAAAUUAACAAUAAAAUUGGAAUUGAUUUCUUAAAAUGUAAAGUCUAGGAGGACACCAAGGUGAAAGUGACUGUGCGGGAUGUGUGUAUGUGUGUUUCUGUUAUCUGAUGAGCUCAAUAAAGUGGCCGUUUUAACCCA